UACGACGGGGGCUAGCGUUGUUCGGAAUUACUGGGCGUAAAGCGCGCGUAGGCGGUGAUCUUUGUCAGAGGUGAAAGCCUGGGGCUCAACUCCAGAAUUGCCUUUGAAACGGGAUUGCUAGAGUCCGAGAGAGGAUGGCGGAAUUCCUAGUGUAGAGGUGAAAUUCGUAGAUAUUAGGAAGAACACCGGUGGCGAAGGCGGCCAUCUGGCUCGGUACUGACGCUCAGGCGCGAAAGCGUGGGGAGCAAACAGG
This 253-nucleotide ribosomal RNA is filed under the name uncultured bacterium. RNAcentral describes it as "partial 16S ribosomal RNA". It matches the Rfam family "Bacterial small subunit ribosomal RNA", at positions 524 to 776 of the family's 1533-position model. The record is from RNAcentral.